GAGUGAGAGGGUAGUCAGGUGGGAAUGAAGAAGCUCCCCGUCCUAUUCCCACAAAUGGCCCCAAAGAGCCUUUGAAGUCUCAGUCAUCAGGCAGAUGAGGAUUUUAAAUGCUUCGCCUACAACCUCAAUUGUUGUGGAGCCAAAGAUGCAACAGCUUUGAAGAAUAGAAGAAUUACUCUAUAUUUGUCAGGAUCUACGUGGCAAACAAGCGCCACUUGGCUUACAUUACUUGCCUGGCUUGGAUCCCAUGGAAUGGAGGAGCAUUGGAACCAAGAGGAAAAAAAUUAAAGUGCUUUGGGACAGCGAGCCAAACUCUUACAUAGUAUUUGAAAUGGUGUGGCAAACAUGAAAUUAUUUUAGGCUCAAGAUUGGUGCUAGUUUUUUACCCUCUUUUUGAAAAAAUAGUAAAAUGCACAUAAAGGGCCCUGCCAGAGGUUUAGCUCAUAAAAUCUGCCAAUCAUUGGAUGUGCUAAUUGGUGUAGCAAUCCAGUGGUGGCCUGGAUUAGGACUCAAAAACUGACCCUUACCACCCUUGGUGUCCUGCAGCAAAGACAGCCUAAAUCGAAAAGACUGAUGGAAGUAUAUCAAAUUACGAAUUUCUCUAUCCCUGAAAAAUGCCUGCAAUUUCUGUUUCUCCAUCACUCCAGAAAUACUCAAAACAGCAAAAAUUAAAUACAUAUGAAGUGAACACAAAAGACCUCCACAGAAAAAUCAGUGGCUCAUCUGUUGACGCUAUUGCUCAUUGCUCGGCUGGCCAGUCAUCUGGGCUAAGUUUUGACUUUGGGCCAGUGCUUCAAAAUCAGCAACCUUUCAGCCAAAAGACUGUGGAAUGCAGCCA
RNAcentral lists this long non-coding RNA (838 nucleotides) under Homo sapiens (human). RNAcentral's name for it is "non-protein coding lnc-GADD45A-10:1". The record is from RNAcentral. Lineage: Eukaryota; Metazoa; Chordata; Mammalia; Primates; Hominidae.